This 776-nucleotide ribosomal RNA is filed under the name uncultured Neocallimastigales. Its description in RNAcentral is "partial large subunit ribosomal RNA". It matches the Rfam family "Eukaryotic large subunit ribosomal RNA", at positions 24 to 616 of the family's 3401-position model. The record is from RNAcentral. Lineage: Eukaryota; Fungi; Neocallimastigomycota; Neocallimastigomycetes; Neocallimastigales.
UAUGUGAUCGUCUCUCGCAUAUCAAUAAGCGGAGGAAAAGAAACUAACAAGGAUUCCCCUAGUAACGGCGAGUGAAGCGGGAAGAGCUCAAAUUUGAAAUCUUAAAGGGUUUCCCUUUACGAAUUGUAGUUUAAAGAAGUGUUUUCUGUUGAGGUUUUGGUAAAAGUUCUUUGGAAUAGGACAUCAUAGAGGGUGAGAAUCCCGUAUUUGACCUUUACUUUCAACUUUGUGAUACACUUUCAAAGAGUCGGAUUGUUUGGGAAUGCAGUCCAAAAUGGGUGGUAAAUUUCAUCUAAAGCUAAAUAUUGGCGAGAGACCGAUAGCGAACAAGUACCGUGAGGGGAAAGAUGAAAAGAACUUCUGAAAAGAGAGUUAAACAGUACGUGAAAUUGUCAAAAGGGAAGCGUUUGACACCAGUGUUGUUUUUCUGAAAAUCAAUUAAAGAACUGUUUAUGCUAAGCUGUUUAGACUUUAUCAGCUAUCUGUUUAGUUUUGAGCUUUUCUUUAAUGCACUUUUCAGUUAACAAGUCAACAUCAAUUUCUUUUGCUGUAAAAAAGCUUGAGGAAGGUGGCUUGAGAUUCGUCUUAAGUGUUUAUAGCCUCUUGCCUAUGCAGUCGGAGAGAUUGAGGUCUGCAGCGUAGAUCCUUCGGGGCUAAAUGCAUUUGUGCUAAGUUAUAGCAUUUUAUAGACAACUUGUUGACUAUGAUUUGUCUUGUAGCUUACUCGCUUAUGUUAUUUUACCUACGCUUAGGAUGUUGAGCGCAUGUCUCUCUCU